UCCUGUUCUGUUUUCUUUUUAUUCUUUUGCUUUUGCUUCUGUAUUUUCUUCUUUUCUUCUUUUUUGUUUUUCAUUCUUUUUCUCUCUUCUUUAUUCCUUUUCCUCUUUUCUCUUUUUCCAAAAGGAAUAACUGUUGGAUUUAUCCUCUGUGCUGAAUCUGAGGGGGUGAAUGCCUUCAGGGAGGACAAAACCCAUCUCAAAUCCUACUGCACAGCACCGGAGCCAGGAAAGAGAGAAAGUCCUUUUCAAAGAUGAGUUUCUACAGCCCUAUAUCAGCCAAAGCUGCCCCCCAAAAUUGUGAAUGCACUCCAGUAAAUCCAGACCCACUUCGGUCUGAUUUACCCCAAACGUACAGAGGAGAAUGGAAACAGACUAGGGCCAAAAGUGAAAAAAUCAGCCCCAUAAUGUGAAAAAAAAACCCUGUUAACAAAGAUCUUUUGAGGGGAGCAGAUGGAGUUUGAACCUUGGAGCUGAAUCCAGGCAAAAGCUUAAUGAGGUCUACGGGAGGUUUACCUAAGUUGGAAACUCAUAACGGGGUCUUUCAUGUGCGCUUCUGCUCGCAUGUGCGUGUGCAUGCGCCUGUGUGUCUGUAUAUACACAGACACACGGAGGUCAUCCUUUAAAAAACCCGUCGGUUGUUUUAGAUAACAAAAUAACGUUACCUCACUCUUCCACUGGGAACACUUCAAAUGGGGAGGGAAGGACAUUUAUUUAACUAAGGAAAAGCCGCAGCAGCCACGAUGGGUGAGCACUGUGCAUGUGGGCAUGUGCAUGGGUGAGAACAGCAACGGGAUUUGUUCCUCUCCGGCUUGAGAAAGGUCUUUAAAGGAAGAGGGAGUUUAAAAAGACAUGAAUCCAUUAAAACAAACUGAAAGGUAUCCCAAGCACAAGCUUGGAGAGACUGGAGGUGCAUUGCUAAUAGCUGGAUCUAAUUAAUACAUGUCUGGGAGGAGGCAACCCUGAGGAAAUGGGGUAAAUAGUCUUCAGCUGGGGCUAUCUAUAAAUCAGAGCCAGCAACGUGAACAGCAAUACUGAGCAACUUCCUCUGGAGAUGGUCUGUGUUUCCAGGUUGUUGGAUAACCACCAUCCUUUGCUUUGUCUUCUAUUACAUAUUUUUUUGUUUGUUUGGUUUUUUUCACAAAUGAAAAGUGUGCAUUUGCCAUGUUUUAUUGUUGACUGAAAGGAAGCAGAAUGGCAGUGUAUGUGUAUAUUCACCACUUUCAAUGGAAAAGUCACGUCCAGCUAUGAGAUCCAGUCCCAUACAUGCAAGGGGCUCCAUCUUUCAGAUACAUCCAUUGGUGUUAGACCAAUGCCAAGCCAAGAGGGAAACACAAGACCAGGUAAUUGCAGGUGUGUGAAAGGGAGAAAAAUAAAUACCUGGAUAAUCUCUUUUCCACUUUCUUAUCAGGGUGUCCCUUUAAUUUUUGAGCAUCUUCUUGCCCAUUCAAAGCAGAGCAACUGAAAUUCUGCAUUUUGCCUUGAGAGAAACACCAGGGGAGCAUUGGAAAUAAGCUGAUUUUGUUAUAAAAAUAAUCUUUUAUCUGUGCUUGACAUAAAUAUUUAUUCAGGAAGGGUACACAGGCAGCAGGAGGUCAGUGCUCCCAUUGCUUGGCUCAGAGGCUCCAUCAUGCUCUUUAUUUUUUUGGACAAUUCUUUACCAUUGAUAUUUAUGCUUUCUGGGGAAGCCUGUCUUGAGUCGAUGUCACCUCAACACAAUUCAGUGGUUCCUUGUUGGUUCAGGAUUUUCAGCUCUGCACUCCAUGCCCCAUAAGGAAACAUGUCCCACUCCAUGCCUCCAUAAAGAAAUCCCCAUCCUCUUCGACACAAGCACAAACUCAUGCCUUUGGUCCCAGCUUACGGUGGUUGCAGUUGUACACACUUUUCAAAACAUGUAAUGAAACGUGCUGAAGACAACCUAUACUAAGUGUGGGGCAAUAUUAUUAUCUGCUCCUUCUUUUCCCCAUUCCAGUCCUGGGAGGCGUUGAUUCCUCUUCGAGCCUCUCUCCAAACACAGCACCAAAACGCAUCAGUAAUCAUAGAAUCGUUUGAGUUCUAAAGGACCUUUAAAAGUCACUUAGUCCAACUGCCUGCAACAAACAGAGAGCAGCCCUUUUGUCAGCAUGGAGGUGCCAAAAGCCAAACAGAAUCCGUCAUCUCAUUAAGAAGAGGGAGCGUUCACCUGGUGUUGAAGAACACCACAUUGUGUUGAUAACACACGCCUUGAGAACUGUCAGGAGGGAGUGAAAAGAGGGAGAAAAAAAGAUUUGCUUGUGAUGGACUUAAUCUAAGCCUUGCUGAAAGAUGCGAUCGAAUCCCAGUGCCGAGCGUGCCUGCAUCCGUCACCAUCUUCUCGCAUUUCAAACCUUUGGUUUUGGGAUGGGCUCUGCCGAGCUAUCUGCCUUCAGCAGCCUUCAGCAUGCUGCCCCAAGCUGCACUAAGACCUCAUUGUGCUUGGGGCUGUAGAAAUUCAGGAUAAAAACAACAGCCCUUGCCCUAAAGGUGAUUUUUGCAGAGGCUGAGCAACGCUCGCAGCUCCAUCAGCUCUCCACCAAGAGCCCAUGGAUGGAUGGGGAGAAGUGGGAGGAAGUGCUCAGUUGAUAUUAGCAUGAUGGGAACAACAACAAUCUGGGCUGCUGUCAUGUUUUGUAUUAUCUAUAAGGCACCACAGUGGUGGAGAGCUUCACAGAGGGGGCUGAAGAGAUUUUGCAGAUGUUUGAGGGGACCCUUCAGAGAGGGAGGAGGAGCCCGGUGGGAAUGGAGAGGUUCCUGCAAGGGAGCAAGGCACGGAUGGAGGUGGGCUGUGGUGGAUCUGGGGGUCACCCCAAGGACAGAGGAGGGUGGGCUGUGAUAUUCCACCAAGAGAGGAAGAGCUGGAAAUGAAGGGAUGAGCCCAGUGCAGGGAAUAGAGCACUGCUAUCAGUGAGGUGAAGCACUAGCCUUGGCACAGCUCAUCUGGAAGUGUCUUAGUGGAUACCAUGCAGGGAGAGGUGGCCUGGAGAGCUGAGGUUCUCACUGCUGGGAUGUUGGACUCACUGCUCCCAGAAAUGGGUCUGGGGGAGCUGUGGUGAAAUGAGGGGGCCUCACUGUGCUCCUACAUGACUUCUACACAAAUCUGUGAAUGUGCAAGCAGAGACAUGGAUUGGUUUUCAUGAUUCUGCAUGUAGAUCAUUAUAUUUAUCUCCCACCUUAACCUGGAGAUUGCUAUGUAUGUAGACAGAGAAGAAACAUUGCCAUCUUAUAAGUUUGCCUAGUCCUUCCCUGCACAUAUUGCAGUUUCUCUGAGUUUUCUUGAGAUUUAACCACUUUCAUCUAAAUUUCUCACUUUAUCCACAAAGGACACAAUUGGGAUUCACCAGGAACGGAAGACCUGAAAGCUGCAGAUGAACUGCAGUCAAACCAAAGGCAGCCACAGCUCCUGGCUGAACAAAAGGUGGUUUGAGCCAUGGGAGUUCAGAUGUUUUGAAAGGCAAAACAUAGUUUAAGAGAAGAAAAUUACAAAUGAUUUAUUUUUAUUAAUUUUGUUGGUUUUGUUGUGGUCAUUGUAGUUGUUCUUGCUGUUGUUACUACUUAUUGCUAUUAUUUUAUUUGCUCUAGAAGGUCCCCAGAAGUUUCAGAUAAACCCUAUAGUCACUGGGGUUUGCAGAUUAAUGUGAAUUCAUAGGAGUCCAUCGGAGUGUACCUUGCUCUCUCAAGCAGCAAGCAUGUCCCCAAGCCCUUCCCAGGAAACAGCAAUUGUAAUAGAGCCUUCCAGCAAAAUUUCACAGGGCUUUCUUCCCCAGCAGGAUAAAAUUAGCCAAGCUCUCUUGAGAUGACAGCUAAGAACUCCAGCUUCCCUCAGAUGACCUCAAUGGAGUCAUUUGUUGCUUAAAUGACAGACAAACGCAGUAAUUAGGUCUAUUUAGUAAAGGGAAGGUGAAAGGUCAAACUACUGGGCAAACUGUCUCCACCGCUUGACUGGGUGACCAAGGUUUGCAGGAGGUGAUGUUUGUACAACAACCUGACACUGGCAGCAGCCCGCCAGCAGGUCCCUGCUUGGCGGCAGGGCUCUGCAUGUCUGAAAUCCGCCUUCCCACUAAUGAAAGCCUGAACUCCCUCGCUUGUGUCAGAAGCGAUUAGAUCCAGAGGAAGGAAGAGCUGAUGAAAAGAUAGGUUAUUGCCAUACAGGGUGUGCAGCUCGGGCAAUAGGAUGAGAGAAGGGGAUCUGAAAGGGGUUGGGAGGCAUGGGUUCAGUUAACUGGGCAAUUACGAAUCUUCUUCUUCUCCUCUUCCUCUGUUCUCUGUGCUUAUUUGUUUUCUGAACAUGGCUGUGCUUCAUGUGAGCACAUGUGAUGGCAGGCACAAGCCACACCUGGCUUUCUCCCUCCUGCUUUGGCUUGAAAACCAUGGCAAGGGAUUUGUGUACUGUGAGCUAAACAUCCCAUGCACAGGAGAACAUUGGUUUCAGCUCAUCCCAAAUCUCCAGAAGAACACUGAACCAAAUAUUUAAUGGAUAGCACCAUGGCCCUUCCACCUGAGUUCCUGCCUGUCUCUUCUAACCACGACUGUGAAAUCCCCUCCCUGUCGAGGUCUCUUAACCCCUGUCUGUGGGGCCUCAUAGGGAGGUGCUGCUGAUGUCGAUGAGAGAGAGGGUCACAAGGAGCCGACGCGAGAGUGAAAAGAAAAUUAGAAAACAAAUAGAGAGGAGGUGGGAGUGCAACCCACACCCAUCCCCGGCGCAACCAGCUUUCCUGCAUGCCCUUGAAGUGCAAAGACCCCCCUCCGCAGAAGUGGGCUUAUCUUCAAAAAGAGCCCUUGCGAUGAUACAAGAAAGAGCAGACUUCUCACACCUUGUCUUCGCUUCCCGGAGAUGCUAUCUGCCCAGAAGUGCCUGUGAUCUCAGUCAGACCUCUCUACCUUGCCACUUGCCUUUUAAGUCUGUUUUGCUAAGGCAGAGGCCUUCCCACUUCAUCCUUUUCUCCCUCAGCGAUGGCAAGUGGGAAGACAGGCGGCGUUUCUGAUGCACCGGAGGAGCGGUAAAUGUCAUUCCAGAGCCUUUCUUUUGUAUAUUUUCUCAUGGACGGAUUAGUUUGUUUAAAGGGCAUCUCCUAUUUAACAACUCAUUGAGCAAAAAACACGUAUGGACACGAUUUUUUAAAGUGACUGCUUUAAGUCCAUGCGGAGUGCUUUAAUAACUGGUGUCAUCACCACAAGUACUGAUCACACAGGAGCUGGGCUCUUGAUGACUCAUGAAGCUUCUAUGAUCUAUAACAAUAUGACCUAUAUUUUUCCACUAUUUUUCUGUCCAAAACUGGACAAAAUCAUGACAUUAUGGAUAAAUAUUUGGGGUGUGAGUAAAUAAUCCAACAUUUGAAAUUAGGUUUGCAAUGCUGGUUUAUCUUACAGAGUUUUAUCUGUAUGCUCUGCUCAGAGUCCCAUGGCUCCUACACUGGCAUCAACAGGAGGGAUGUCCAUAAGACAAGAGCAAGGAGUUGCUUGCUUGGAUGGAGUCAUUCCCACAGUGUGAUAGUAACACAUCUCUUUUGCACUGCACCUCUGGUUACCUCUGCAGUGACCCCCCACCCACCCCCAGAAAUGCUGACGUCCUUUUAGGAGAUCCUCCUUCAUCUGUUCCCUCCCUCUGUGUGAUACAAACCACCCAACAGGUCCUCUGGAAAGGAAUUGCAUGGAUAAAAUCCACUUUAUCACCAGAUCUUUGAGUGUUUAUGACCUUUCAUUGGUCCUUCAUGAUACUUAUGGGAGAGAAGUGGCCAAUUCAGCCAGAUAACAUUUCUCUACCACUCUGCUUCUCUUCCUUCAGAAGUCUUCCCAUUGGGACUGCUCCUGGGGUAAGGUUCAACUCCUUUCCCAUAGAGCGGGUAUUCUUCAUAAGCAGGCAAAGCCUUGUAGAAGAAUUCACUAUAAUGGCAGUCUCAAACGCUUCCAACCCAAUCAACUCUCGUUCUGCACUUUGUAGGUCACUGCAAUUUCCUAUGAACCUAAGGGGAAAUUUUCUUGGGAAAAAAUUUGUUUUUCUGUAAGCUAACCAGCUGUUGAUUUUCCCCAAGGAAAGUCAAAUUAUCCUUGAUCAUCGUAUCAGCAGAUGUACAAAAAAGCCGAUCCAUCACACAAGAAAAACCUGAACCAAUUUCCUGCAUUUUCUGGGCUGUGAAUGUUAAAAAAUAAAACCCAGAUUCUUUUUCUUCUAGCUGAAAAAUGUCCAGCGCAAAAUCAAACGAUGACACCCAAGACCUUGAAGGACAUCAGGGAUUUGGUGUAUAUAGUUUACUUGAGAGAGGAAGCUGUUGGCCGAAAUUACAGUGUUUCAGGGACCAGUUUAAAUUGUAACCACGUUCCAGGGAGCUUGCCAGGGAGCCUAAUGGGCUGAUCUCAUUCACCUUGAUGUAAAUCCAGCGUAGCUCCACAAAAGCCAACAGCACUACUCCUGGCUCGGCACAGAGGUACCGCUGAGAUCACAAAUUGUGCAUUUCUAAUGAAGACAAAGUUAAGGGAACACGUGGAAAGCAAGGGUGUAGCAAUGUCCCUGGUCACAGGCUUUGAGUCCCAGAGGAAACAAAGCUGGCCUGAAUACUGAGGUUUUCAGAGAUGUUCUUCCAUUAACUUUCUCAGUAAAUUAGGAGUAACAAUGCCAGUUAACAAGGUUUCUGUGUUUAAAAGUUAGAACCCAGGUAGGAGCUGUUGCAGAUCUGCAUUGUUUGUGGCACGGUCCUUUGGUGAGGUGCAGAGGGUCUUCUCAGGAGCAUUGCCUGGGUACCCUGGGGCAACUGGAGAGCAUCGUGGGGAUUGUGCUUCAGGAGGAUGCUGAGAGUACGUUGGCAUUGACUGCUUAGCAUUCAGCAAGAUGAGCCUCGGCCACAAUCCUCCUCCAUCUGGGCUCAAGCAAAUCCUGUGUCACCUCCCAUUACAUGGGCCUAAGACCAUGAUACAUAUCCAUUUAUCACAGUCUAGCUCAGGUGCUGGGUUUCAGGAAUGCACAGGACCUCAGCUGAGCCCUUGGGGAUGUUCUUCUCCCCUUGCUGAACCUUUCCCCUGGCUCUCUGAGCACGUCCCAUUCAGGUCUCCUCUCUACAUGCCCUCCCUCACCCUGAUUACAUGAAGGCAUCGAUUUAUCUUCUUUCUCCCUCCCAAGUCCAAAGAGAAAGGCAGAAUUAAGAUAGGAACAGUGUAAUGAACUCCGUCAAUGGUUACUCAUUUUCAAAAAAUUUAGCUAAGCAUGUAAAAAAAAAAAAAUGCUGUGAGAAAUCUGAACAGGCUCCUUCCUUGGAUGCACAGAAAAAAUUCACUGUGAGGUCCCCAAGGACACUGUCUCCCUGGUUUUAAAUCUCAUGCAAGAGAGGAUAAAUUGAGAGCCCCUUCCCCCUCCUCCCCUGACAUUUCAUUUGUGAUUAAGGCACUAUUCAUCGCCCCUCGUCUUCCAAACCCUUUACUAUUUAUGGACCUGCUGUUUUUCCAGCAGUUGACACUAGCGUGCAUUCAGCUCAGCUCUUCUUUCCCCAUCCCAUCCUGUUCCCCCCCUCCUCUCCAUAAAGGCAUUUCUCCAUUUCAGUAGAGAAACCACUAGUGACUGGAGUGUCUGUGACCUCUGGGCUGUCAAACUCCCACUAACUAAAUAAAAGCAGCCCAAGAGGGAGAGAGUUAGCAUAAAUCACUUCCCGUGACAGAGACCACCUGGUAUACACUCGCUGCAUGGAGGUACCCAGUCUAUUCCAGCUGCUGAGUUUGCACUUUCCCGCAUUUUUAUGGACACCGUUGGAGAGAUACAUUGUGUUUACACAAGGAAUGGAAAUUUCAGUUUUACUGCAUGUAACUGAUUUCCUUGGCUGGCGGUGGGCAAGCUCUUUGAUUAGAGGAGCAAUGAGGCCCGUCACGUCCCCGAGGUGUGCUGUGAACUUAGCGGGUCUGUUCCUAGGUGCUAUGGGGCAAUCGCUUGCAAGGUUUGGACUCCUGCCCUUCUCGUCCACAUGAGAGCUUUUGCCACAGUCGAGGGCAGAAGAGUAGAAUCAUAGAAUCGUAGAAUGGCUUAGGUUGGAGGGGACCGCAAAGCUCGUCCAGUUCCAACCCCCUGCUGUGGGUUGGUUGACACCCAAAGGUCAGGCUACCCAGGGCCCCAUCCAACCUGGCCUUGAAGACAGAGGCCAGAUACAGGUCAAGGAAGACUUGACUGCUGCCAAAGCUUUCAUCUUCAUUGCCCCCUACUUUCUUGACCCAUCCUUAGGACCUCCCAGUCACAUUUACCCAUGGCAGGAACAGCCAUUCCCCUCAAACUCAUCUUGUCUAAACUACCACAAAGCCUUUGGUUGAUCUAAAGAUCAAUUGGGAUCAAGCAAAGUUGAUGUGAAGAUCAUCUGAAGAUCUGGGAUCUGCUUUGCCGAGAGAGAGGCUCUGCCUAGGGUCAGACACAGCCAUUGCCAGUGACUUCAUGUUAGCUACUCCCAGUGGUUGUGAACAAAGUGAGUUUGUGUUUUGCCCCUGCCCUAUACAUCCAGUAAAGUUGUUUUAAAUUAUUUCCAGCCAGGGUUGCAAUGCUCAUAUAUUAAGGUCUUAGAGUUUGUUAUGAAGCAGCAUCACCAUUUUUAAACAAAAAGACAUAUAUACCAAGCAGUGUUUAUUAAAAAAAGAGACUUUUGCUAACAACAAGAGAAUUUUGUUAAUGAUGUUCCAUGAACAAAGAGAACGGUUGUGGAGGGGGAGGAUUAACAAUAAAGAGGCAAAGCAAAGGCCAGUAAAAGCCCUCCAGUGAGAUGAACUUUUAAUCAGAGCAAAUAGGUUUAUGUAAAGGUCAUUCAGAAAGGAAGAGGAAGAUAAUUUCUAAGAGGUUUGUGAAAAUUAGAAAAGAAACCAAUUAUACUGUAGCUGAAAACAGCAGUGCACAGGUAUGUGGACUUUCUUCUGAUCCCUGUUUCUCCUUGCUGCAAAAAUUUCAAAGUUAUUUAUUUAUUUGUUUGUUUGUUUGUUUCAUGUGGGGAGUUCUUCCCAUUAGCAGUUUGGAAGAACAAGAGGCUGAGAAGGAUUUCAGGACAGGAACAUAUUUUUCCAUCUCAGAGGUUAUUGCAGCCAAAGUGCAGCUAUGGGAGCUCUGAAGCCAGCUGAUAGAGAAAACCCUCAGAGCUGGCGCACAAUUAAUUUUUUCAGACUGGUUCCAAACCCAAAUAACUCAGAGGAAAAGCAGUUUGGAAAUAAUUCAGGUGAGAUCAGCCAGAAAUGAUGUUUUGCUUUUGCACAGAAAAGCGAAGCCAGAAAUGAGAGUUGCAGUGAAUGAACCCAUUCACGGUGAACCUGCUCACUGUGAAACUGCCUCUUCUAAGUGAGCCCUGAUGACCCCUUGUACCAUGUGCUGUGUCUGGCUUGAUUUUCCUGAGGAACACUGGAGGUGCUGCCACAAAUGGCUCAGCUCAAAGGGGAACACAAUGCCAGGGUGUUCCUGUGCUCUCCUCCAGCCUGGCCUUGCACAGCUACUCUCUCAAACCCUUCUGUACCUCCAGAAAGGUGAAGCAGAGGGAAGAGAAGCUGGAGAGGUGUAUCUUCAGGGUCUGCACAGUCCAAGUGGCAGCUGGUAUGAGUGCUUUGGUAUUCAAAGGGACCAGUUUUCUGUGCUUCUUUUCUCCUUUGCACAACAAGACCAAGGCAUUGGUGUUGACUGAAGAGUGUCAUGAAGAAAUCAGGAGCUUUUGGGUCUCCAAAAUGCUGAACAACUGGGAGAGUACUCACAUUGAAGGCCUUCCUUGCCUUUCCUGACAUCUAUUAGUCACUUUUUAGACGUUGAGGUACUUAGAACUGCUAAGCAGAUAUCCUACCAGUUUGACCCCAACAGACUGGGGAUGAGUCUGUUGGGUGAACUGGCACUGGGGAUGAGUCAGGCACAUCCGAAUCCUUCCUCAAGUGUUUGGCAACCAGCUUUCUCCUCCCACCACUGUCUGAGAGCACCCAGGCAGCUAUGGAUGCUCCUUUGAGCGCUCCUAUAAUGGGAAGAGACAAGGAAGCAACCAAGGAAGGAGGUUGUCCCCAAGCCAGGUGCAGCUGCUGUCCCACAGUUCUCCACCCAAAGAGCUGGAGAGGGGUUUGCAUGUGUCUCCCCUGUCAGGCCAGAGAGUUUGCUUUUUCCUGGAGCCCCUUCAGCAGUGGGAUGCCAGAGAGCAUGCCAAAAGGAGAAAAUUCUUCAGUGACGUAAAUGCAGUAAUAGCACUUGUUAGUGGUAUGUGUGCUCCCUGCCAGGCUAGGGAGAGGAACUCGGGUUAUAUGUAGAACACUGUCUCUCUGUCCCCUUCACACACACACACACAAAAAAAACCCAAAUCAAAGAAAGCUUGAGCCCUUUCCAUAGGGUAUACCAACUCCAUAAAUUUAAUUUAGGAGUGCUGCACUUUCUCAGAUAAGGAUUUGAUUUGCUCAGGUUUACAGAGUUACAUUUAAUUGGAGUGCUCUGAGUAGCAAAAAUUGAGAGGUCUCCAUAAAGACUUAGACAAGCGGGACAUUAAUUGCAUUAUUUUCUUUACUGAUAAAUCUUAUUUGGUGGAGCCAGCAUCAUCAGAUAAAAAAUAGAUAAGAUCAAACCCUGCCUUUAAAUUCCAGAUCUCCUGGCUUGAGAAAAUAUGGAGAUCAGAUUACGGUGUAACAUUUAAUGGGCUUCAGAGAUUUCUGCCCAAGCAGGACGGUAAAAAAUGUAGAUCCUUCAAGAUCCUGAAAGGAGCAGAUAGGCUGUAUUUGUGCAGUAGUCAGCAGUUUCAGAUAAGGAACAGAGGAUACUCAGGUCUGAUUGCUGCCGUGCUGAAGUUUUCCACAUAAAAGCUGCACUCUGCUU
Gallus gallus (chicken) is the source of this 10795-nucleotide long non-coding RNA. RefSeq lists it as uncharacterized. The transcript has 3 exons. Lineage: Eukaryota; Metazoa; Chordata; Aves; Galliformes; Phasianidae. The record is from RefSeq and is a predicted model, not a curated record.